CUAGAAGUGAUGAUUAUUUCCCCAGAUGACCGACGCUGAAAUUACCGAGCGAUUUUUCUCUUUUGAGAAACCAAGCCAAAAAAAAAAAAAAAGCUUAUUCUUU
Small nucleolar RNA from Neltuma alba, 103 nucleotides. RefSeq annotates it as small nucleolar RNA Z103. NCBI's taxonomy places the organism in Eukaryota, Viridiplantae, Streptophyta, Magnoliopsida, Fabales, Fabaceae. The transcript has a single exon. The record is from RefSeq and is a predicted model, not a curated record.